RNAcentral lists this ribosomal RNA (445 nucleotides) under uncultured bacterium. RNAcentral's name for it is "partial 16S ribosomal RNA". It matches the Rfam family "Bacterial small subunit ribosomal RNA", at positions 354 to 796 of the family's 1533-position model. The record is from RNAcentral.
GUGAGGAAUAUUGCGCAAUGGAGGCAACUCUGACGCAGCCAUGCCGCGUGCAGGAAGAAGGCGCUACGCGUUGUAAACUGCUUUUAACCGGGAAGAAACCCCAGGACGUGUCCUGGGUUGACGGUACCGGAGGAAUAAGCACCGGCUAACUUCGUGCCAGCAGCCGCGGUAAUACGAAGGGUGCAAGCGUUAUCCGGAUUCAUUGGGUUUAAAGGGUGCGUAGGCGGAGCGUUAAGUCAGUGGUGAAAUCCUGCAGCUUAACUGUAGACUUGCCAUUGAUACUGGCGCUCUUGAGUGUGCUUGAAGUGGGCGGAAUGUGCCGUGUAGCGGUGAAAUGCUUAGAUAUGGCACAGAACACCAAUUGCGAAGGCAGCUCACUAAGGCGAUACUGACGCUGAGGCACGAAAGCGUGGGGAUCGAACAGGAUUAGAAACCCGGGUAGUCC